Schistosoma mansoni is the source of this 78-nucleotide microRNA precursor. It matches the Rfam family "mir-3492 microRNA precursor family". The record is from Rfam. Lineage: Eukaryota; Metazoa; Platyhelminthes; Trematoda; Strigeidida; Schistosomatidae.
AGCUUUCUGAAUCCGUGCACAGAUUUCUUCAGACACCAACUCAUUGGGACUGGUCAGACUUCCAAGAUAAGUGAAGUU